GGAGCGUUAGUCCAAAACAAGACCCCUGAUUUCGACUCAGCCAAUCGUGGUUAAAGUCCACGACCUCCUU
This 70-nucleotide transfer RNA is filed under the name Brachyhypopomus occidentalis. RNAcentral's name for it is "tRNA-Arg". The record is from RNAcentral. Lineage: Eukaryota; Metazoa; Chordata; Actinopteri; Gymnotiformes; Hypopomidae.